Molecule: ribosomal RNA, 446 nt
Filed under: uncultured bacterium
Lineage: Bacteria
Description: bacterial SSU rRNA
Rfam family: Bacterial small subunit ribosomal RNA
Source: RNAcentral
CCCAGACUCCUACGGGAGGCAGCAGUGGGGAAUAUUGCACAAUGGGGGAAACCCUGAUGCAGCGACGCCGCGUGAGUGAAGAAGUAUUUCGGUAUGUAAAGCUCUAUCAGCAGGGAAGAAAAUGACGGUACCUGAUUAAGAAGCCCCGGCUAACUACGUGCCAGCAGCCGCGGUAAUACGUAGGGGGCAAGCGUUAUCCGGAUUUACUGGGUGUAAAGGGAGCGUAGACGGCAGCGCAAGUCAGAUGUGAAAGCCCGGGGCUCAACCCCGGUAUUGCAUUUGAAACUGUCCGGCUAGAGUGCAGGAGAGGUAAGCGGAAUUCCUAGUGUAGCGGUGAAAUGCGUAGAUAUUAGGAGGAACACCAGUGGCGAAGGCGGCUUACUGGACUGUAACUGACACUGAGGCACGAAAGCGUGGGGAGCAAACAGGAUUAGAUACCCCCGUAC